CAUAUAAGUAAUUUUCUCUCUGAGUGUUAGUGUUAUAGAUUCCAGGGGACAUACAUGCUUCUCAAGAUUCUAAUAAGGGGAGUUACCCCUAAUAAACCUAGAAAUCUUUAUUCUUUACAAACAUGUAAGUUUGUGACUUCUUGAGCUCCUCCAUAAUCUGUUUUCUUUUUGUAAGCAUAGAGGAGGAUAGUAUUUUCUCCCAACCUUGCCAUUGGGAAAAGCUAUGUAAUUAGUUCUGGCCAAUGGGUUAUGGGCACAGCAGACUUGUAAUUUAGUCAUGUGAUUACUAUCUCAAGACUUGCAGCUCUGUUUUCCUCUUCCCCAGGGUCCUAGGGGGCUUUAUAUUCCAGAAGGUGCAGCUAUGAGGUGGUGGGGCCUCUGCAAACCAGGCUUCCUCAGGGACUCUCUGGUGACCUAUGUGGAGUAUGUGGCCUGGGUCCUUGGGCCUCUGGGUCCCUAAAUAACUGUAUCUGGGGUCCAGAGCAUAAGCCAAAAAUUACUGAGAUUUUGUAGUUGAUUGUUAUUGCAUUGUAGUAAAUGCUAAAUGUGUGAGUAAUGGGAACUGAGGUUGAUUUUUAUUAGCUUAUCACUAGUAGAAAAGGUUUAUAAAUGUUAAGGAAUCACUUAAACUGUCUUUCAAUUUAAAAAAAUUUUUAUAUAAUGAUUUCUUUUUCCAUUAUAGCUGGUUUACAGUGUCCCGUCAGUUUUCUACUGUACAGCAAUGGUGACCCAGUUACACAUACAUGUAUACAUUCUUUUUUCUCACAUUAUCCUGCUCCAUCAUAAGUGACUAGACAUAGUUUCCAGUGCUAAAUAGCAGGAUCUCAUUGAUAAUCCAUUCCAAAGGCACUAGUCUGCAUCUAUUAUCCUCAAGCCCCCAAUCCAUCCCACUCCUUCCCCUUCCCCCUUGGCAACCACAAGUCUAUUCCCCAAGUCCAUGAUUUUCUUUUCUGUGGAAAGGUUCAUUUGUGCCAUAUAUUAGAGUACAGAUAUAAAAUAUGGUAUUUGUCUUUCUCCUUCUGACUCACUUUACUCAGUAUGAGAGUCUCUAGUUCCAUCCAUGUUGCUGCAAAUGGCAUUAUUUUGUUCUUUUUUAAUGGCUGAGUAGUGUUCCAUUGUGUAUAUAUACCACAUCUUCCUAAUCCAGUCAUCUGUAGAUGGAUGUUUAGGUUGUUUCCAUGUCUUGCACUUCCAUGCGGGGGUGCAUGUGUCUUUUUUAAGGAAAGUUUUGUACAGAUAUAUGCCCAAGAGUGGGAUUGCUGGGUCAUAUGGGAGUUCUAUGCAUAGUUUUCUAAGGUUUCAUACUAUUCUCCAUAGUGUAUACAUGUAUGUGUAACUGGGUCACCAUGCUGUACAGUAGAAAACUGAUGGAACACUGUAAACCAGUUAUAAUGGGAAACCACCUUACAUUCCCACCAACAGUGCAGAAGGGUUCCCUUUUCUCCACACCCCCUCCAGCAUUGUUUUGUGGAAUUUUUAAUGAUGGCCAUUCUAACUGGUAUGAGGUGGUGUCUUGUGGUAGUUUUGAUUUGCAUUUCUCUUAUAAUCAGGGAUGGUGGACAUUUUUUCAUGUGCUUGCUGGCCAUCUGUAUAUCUUCCUUGGAGAAAUGUCUAUUCAGGUCUUUGGCCAUUUUUCCAUUGGGUUGUUGGCUUUUUUGCUGUUGAGUUGUGUAAGUUGUUUGUAUAUUUUAGAGAUUAAGCCCUUGUCAGUUGCAUCAUUUGAAACUAUUUUCUCCUAUUCUAAGUUGUCUUUUUGUUUUCUUUUUGGUUUCCUUUGCUGAGCAAAAGCUUGUCAGAGAAUGUUUUACCUAUGUUCUCUUCCAGGACUUUGAUGGUGUCUUGUCUUAUAUUUAAGUCUUUAAGCCAUUUCGAGUUUAUUUUUGUGCAUGGUGUGAGGGUGUGUUCUAGUUUCAUUGAUUUGCAUGUAGCUGUCCAAGUUUACCAGCAAUACUUGUUGAAAAGACUGUCUUUUUCCCAUUUUAUGUUCUUGCCUCCUUUGUCAAAGAGUAAUGGACCAUAGGUGUCUGGGUUUAUUUCUGGGUUCUCUAUUCUGUUCCAUUGGUCUGUCUGUCUGUUUUGGUACAAGUACCACACUGUAUUGAUGACUGUGGCUUUGUAAUAUUGCCUGACGUCUGGGAGAGUUAUGCCUCCUGCUUAGUUUUUGUUCCUCAGAAUUGCUUUGGCAAUUCUAGGUCUUUUAUGUUUUUAUAUAAAUUUUGGAUUGUUCUACUUCUUUGAAAAAUGUCCUGGGUGAUUUUGUAGGGAUUGCAUUGAAUCUGUAGAUUGCUUUGGGUAGUAUGGCCAUUUUUACGAUAUUAAUUUUUCCAACCCAGGAGCAUGGGAUAUCUUUCCAUUUCUUUGAAUCCUCUUUAAUUUCCUUGAUUAAUGUUUUAUGGUUCUCAGCAUAUAAGUCUUUCCCUUCCUUGGUCAGGUAUAUACCCAUGUGUUUGAUUUUUUUGGGUGCAAUUUUAAAAGGCAUUGUAUUUUUGUAUUCCUUUCUUUGUACAAUGUAGGUCUGAAUUUAUUAAAGGGAAUACUUUGGCUGUUCCCAAGUUUCCUUGAUAGAAUUGAAAGAAAAAAUCAUGUUCUGAGGUACCUGGUUAUAGUAUUACAGAAGCCUUGAUCAUGUUAGGAUACAGAGGAAAAUGCUCUAGGUCUUCUGUGGUUUUAAUUUACAAAAACCAUCUUUUAUUUGCACUUGAAAGUAGCUGCAGCUACUGUCACUUAAGAUAUUUUUCCCACUUUCAUUGUGCCAUGGAAAUUAGCAUUUUUAUUAGUGCAAAUUAUUCUUGUUUGCUAAUUCCAGAGAUGUCCAAAAGCAAGAACAGCCUCCUGGGCCAUUCGACUUUGGAAGAGAAUAGUAAAUCAAUGGGUAGAUAGGACUAUAUAUCAUAUUAAACACAGGGAAUCCACCACAAAAUCAUUACACUAAAAAGCGACAAUUUUGAUUGAUUAAAAUGGUAUGGGCUGGAUAGUGUUAAAUCACUCUGAGUGAUAUGACAUUAUAAUUUUACAUAGCAUAUUUCUGCCAAGACAAUGAAGGUAAAAGGCAUUGUCAUCAGAUGAUAACAGACAAUAAGAAGAAUCCUGAUGUUAGAUUUAUUACCUGGGUUAGAUUUAGAAAGAAGUAAUUCUUGUCCUGUUCCACUUAUCAAAUGACUGUAAAUUCAGUGAUGAUGUAAAAUUCUAAGGCAGAGCCACUUAUAGGUUUGACAAAGUGCCAGCUAUAAAGUAUUUAUUGUUCUCAGUGUUUCUGCAUUACACACUUAAAUAUUUAUCAGAAACAUAAGCCCCUCUGAUAAAUGUUUCUGAUCUUUGUGGCUAGAUUAUAUUUUUUAACAUUUAGAUUUUUCAUCCAGAAACUACAUCUUCAUUUUUAUUAUGUUAAUAACUUUGAGCUCAUCGUUUGAAAAGGCAGUGAGUUUUAAAAUCUUGUUCCUUUUAACUUUUGGUUUUAAGUGUGAAAUUUUUGAGGUGGUAUUCUUAAUAUAGCAAUGAGGACUUCCUGGGAGUUUCCUGGUGGCCUCGUAGAUUGAGGAUCUGGCUUUGUCACUGCUGUGGCUCUGAUUACUGCUCUGGCAUGGGUUUGAUCCCUGGCCAGGAAACUUCUGCAUGCUGUCA
This 3621-nucleotide long non-coding RNA is filed under the name Sus scrofa (pig). RNAcentral's name for it is "lncRNA (ENSSSCG00000053095.1)". The record is from RNAcentral. Lineage: Eukaryota; Metazoa; Chordata; Mammalia; Artiodactyla; Suidae.